Molecule: long non-coding RNA, 3829 nt
Organism: Canis lupus familiaris (dog)
Lineage: Eukaryota; Metazoa; Chordata; Mammalia; Carnivora; Canidae
Exons: 3
Source: RefSeq, a predicted model, not a curated record
CGCCCCGCGCUUCGGCCCCGCCCCCGCGCCCGGUUUGACGAGUCGUCAUGGCGCGGUGGGCAGGUGGUGCUUCCUGCUGGCGGCUGAGGCUUGGUGCGUUUCCUCCUCCCGCGCGGGGCUCUGGAGCUCCUGUAAAUGCUCAACUCUGCUUACUCUGUGAAUCACUAAGGGACUCUAAAAUACCUUGAAGGUUCUGGCCAACUCCUGAAGAAUAUAGCAUCGAGGAUGGCCAGGGACUCAAGACCAAGCCAUUGCAGGUAUGCGGCAGACGUGAAGUACAAAGGCACACCGUACAGAGUGAGCUUAGGUCUUCAGGAAGAAAGUCUGUAUUAGUAUGUCCUUAAUAGCUACAACUACUCCAAGCUACUGUCUCUGUAUUCUAAGUGGAGUAAUCACUGAGCUCCAUAAAUUGCUAGGAGUUAUAUCAGAAACUGCACAAAAGCUGCACUCUGAUACCUAGAUCUCCAACCUAUUUCCUCAAGCUUACCAGAGUGAUUCAGCUAUGUUUAGUUUUAGUUAACUUACAUCGAGUUCUUCUUUUGAUUCUAACAGCCUUUCAUGGUCUGCACAAUCCACCAGAAAUACAAUGCCAUUGAUAGCAGGAAGGUAGUUUUUCCACACUCUUCGAGCUAACAAAAACAAUCAGGAGUUAGAUUUUAUUUGCUGGUCAAACCUAGCAGAUAAGGUUUGAUGGAAGAGUCCAACAAGAUAUCAAGUAUAAUUAUCCCUUAGUGGCUACCACUUCACUAUAUACUCAAGUUAAUCUUUAACCCAGGGUUGCCAAAUCUUUCCAGAAGACCAAGGAAGGCUUUCCUUGAUGGGAACAAGUCAAAUAUUUUACUCUGCCCCAAUUCUCCCAAGUUCAAAGUGGAAUUAUUAUUUGCUACCAAUGGACGAUGAUACACAUUAAGUUCACUGAAUGACUAUUACUAUUUUAAAAUUUUAUUUAUUUAUAUGCAGUAUUUGUUUUUUGACGUUUCAAGUUUAUCAGUUUUUUUUUGCCACUGAUAUAUUCGGAGUCAGUGAAAGAGAAAAUUAGUGGGUACAGAUUUGUUAAGUUAAAAUAAUAAAAGCAAACUGUUAUAACAGAAAUUAACUAAGGUCAAUGAAACCAUUAGAGUAAUUUUUUUCCAAGACAUUAUUUUUAGAAAAGUUUGAGGGGUGCCUUAGGAGUAGGCAACUUUUUUCUGACUUCAGUUUUAUAUCUUAAAUAUAACACAGAAAUGAAGUCUCAGACAAACUGUAUUAGGUUCCAGUUCUCUCUAACCAUUAAACUCUGGAAAGUACUUCAUAUAUAUUUCAAAGAAUGAUUGUCUCAAGUGUGCAUUCACUAACCACAACUACUCAAAAUCUUUUCAACUCUUUGUCAUAGGGCCCUGAAGGUGGGUUACUUGUGUGCAGAUGGGGAUAGCAUGAACAAAAGCACAGAGUGGGGAGCACACCAAGGUUUGGUUUGGUUGGAGUACAGAGAAUAGGAAAGGGAAGAGUGGAAAUUAAAUAAAAUGGGAUCAGAUUACAAGAAUCCCAAACGCCACAUCAAUGAGUUUGGCUUCCAUGUUGUAGGUCAGCCACUGAAGGUUUUUAAUACAGAACAGUAACAUCAUAAUAUGAUUAUGACAAUCAGUGAGAUGUGGAUUGGAGCAGAAAAUAGAGGCUAAAUUUUGCUUACAUGCUUUACACCAAAAGCAAUUCAGAGUUAAAUUGCUCAGGAGUAUUAUGAAAAUCACUUUGGUUUAAAGCUUAUCUGAUGGUAAUAAUUCUUUUUUAGUCUAUUCUGGCUUUCCUUUAAUAGAAUGAGAUUUCACGCACAGGAAAAUAAUAACCACAUUUUUAUUAAGCUAAUUAAAAUAAAGCAACUAUAAGAGUAAUAGUAUCUUACCUUGAACAUGUCCACCCAAAUCAAAAGUUGUAAAGGUCAUGCCAGCAAUGGUUAACUCUUCUGAAGCUAAAUAAUAAUAUAAAAUAUUUUUACAACAAGAAAAUCAUCUGAUUUUCCAUUCAUGGUUAUGUACUGCUAUUUAAUGUUUGACUUUAACCGCAAAUAAGUUCAAAUCAAACAUUUAGGAAUUGAUAAAAGAAUGUUGUAAUUAGAUAUUCUCUAAUUUAUAUUGACAACAUAACACAAAUAAUGGUAAUAUUCUCGAAUUCACUAUCCAUCACAAAUCUGACAUUCAUUUUUCCUUCUCUAUUUCCCCUGCUGAAAAUACUAACUAUUCAGAUAACCAUUUGGUGUGAAUUCAAGUAACUGCUGUAAUCUAAUAAUUUUUCUGAUAAUGCAUCUUAGCUGAUACCAGGAAAAUAAUUUUCUCCCAUGCCUGUCAUAUUAGCAAGGGACAGUCUUUAGUGACACAGUUGCAAUACAGAUUUUUUGCCAUGAUACCUUCAAAUUUUUUUCUGCUCCCUCCCUUCUUCUUCUAGGACUUCAAGUAUAGGUUGGCUGGACUGCUUAGCAUUGUCCCACAAGUCACUGAGUAUCUGUUCUUUUUUUUUUUCUUUCCAUUUUUCUCUCAGUGCUUCAUUUUACAUAGUUUCUAUUAUAUUGACUUAAGUUCACUGGUCUUUCCUUCUGUAGUACUAGCACUAUUUUGCUGUUAAUCCUAUGUAAUGAAAAUCUCAUUUCAGUCAUUAUACUUUUCAUUUCUAGAAGUUCGACUUGGUUCUGUCUUCUAUAUUCCAUUUCUUUCCUCAUUCUGUUCAUGUUUUCCUUCAGUCCUUGAGCACAUUCAUCAUAGCUCUUUUGGCAUCCUCAUCUGCUAAUUCCAUCAUCUUAGUCCCUUCUGAGUCUGUUUCUACUGAUUUUUCUCCUGGCUGUGGAUCACACUAUCUUGCUUCUUUGCAUGCCUAGUAAUUUUUUACUAGAUGCUGGAUUUUGUUGUAGUCUUUUGAUGUAAAGUGAACUUUGUUCUGGCAGGCAGUUCAACUGCUUUCAGAUCAGUUUUUGAGUUUCAUUAGGUUACAAUAGCCUUUACAGGUACUUCAGCCCCAUUACUAAGGUAUGAUCCUUCUGGAGUCUCUAUUGAACGCCUUAUGUAUCCAACCAGAUCUCUCCCUUCUGGCUGGUGGGAACAUGAAUGAUUCCUGGGCCCAGUUUGCUCUGAGAAUUAUUUGGUUAACAACUCUGCUACAAUUACUCUUUCUCCAGAAAGUAUUCCUUGACUGGCCAUGGGGAGUUUUACCCUCUGCAUAGAUUGGUAUUUAGCCAUGAACAUUUUUACAGUUCUUUGUGUAUAGAGCUUCUUCCUCUUUAGUACUAUGCCAAGCAAAUUCGCAUCACUUCAGUCUCCCUUUAUUCUGGUCUCUGUCUCCUCAACUCAGCAAGACCACUGUGUUAUGUUUAGGUUUCUUCUCCCUGCACCAUGGUCUGAAGAUGACCUCCUCUGUGAUAAAACUUGAAUAAAGAAAGGUUUGUUUUCCUUCUCUCAGGAAUUGUAGUCCUGUGCUAUUGUCCAGUUCCGAAAAUAGUAUAUAUGUUUGUCCAGUUCUCUAGCUGCUUACAGUAGGAGGGUAAUUCCAGAUGCUCUUACUGCCCCACAGCCAAAAGCAGAAGUCCCCCACAAUUAUAAUGAAAGGUUCAGUGUAAUUUUAACUAUUCAUAACAAUUGUUGAGGCCCCAGAGUAGUUUCUUGUUAAAAAAUUCUUCAUGUAGGGGUGCUUGGGUGGCUCAGUCAGUUAAGCAUCUGGCUUUGGCUCAGGUCAUGAUCCUGGGGUCCUGGGAUCAAGCCCCAUAUUUCGCUCCCCCUCUCCUUGCCUCCCCCUCGUGUUCUCUCACUUGAAUAAAUAAAUAAAAUAUUUUUAAAAGUAUACUUUAAAAUAUAUUUUAAAAAAUAUU